This 29-nucleotide non-coding RNA is filed under the name Mus musculus (house mouse). The record is from RNAcentral. Lineage: Eukaryota; Metazoa; Chordata; Mammalia; Rodentia; Muridae.
UAGGUAUUGUUUUCUGGGAACCCUGCUUA